CCAGACUCCUACGGGAGGCAGCAGUGGGGAAUAUUGCACAAUGGGGGAAACCCUGAUGCAGCGACGCCGCGUGAGUGAAGAAGUAUUUCGGUAUGUAAAGCUCUAUCAGCAGGGAAGAUAAUGACGGUACCUGACUAAGAAGCCCCGGCUAACUACGUGCCAGCAGCCGCGGUAAUACGUAGGGGGCAAGCGUUAUCCGGAUUUACUGGGUGUAAAGGGUGCGUAGGUGGCAUGGCAAGUCAGAAGUGAAAGCCCGGGGCUCAACCCCGGUCCGCCGUUGAAACUGGCAGUCUCGAGUUGGAGAGAAGUAUGCGGAAUGCGCGGUGUAGCGGUGAAAUGCAUAGAUAUCGCGCAGAACUCCGAUUGCGAAGGCAGCAUGCCGGCUCCACACUGACGCUGAGGCACGAAAGCGUGGGUAUCGAACAGGAUUAGAUACCCGGGUA
RNAcentral lists this ribosomal RNA (443 nucleotides) under uncultured bacterium. Its description in RNAcentral is "bacterial SSU rRNA". It matches the Rfam family "Bacterial small subunit ribosomal RNA", at positions 331 to 792 of the family's 1533-position model. The record is from RNAcentral.